This 250-nucleotide ribosomal RNA is filed under the name uncultured bacterium. Its description in RNAcentral is "partial 16S ribosomal RNA". It matches the Rfam family "Bacterial small subunit ribosomal RNA", at positions 89 to 339 of the family's 1533-position model. The record is from RNAcentral.
UAGAGACCGGCGCACGGGUGCGUAACGCGUAUGCAAUCUACCUUAUACAGGGGAAUAGCCCAGGGAAAUUUGGAUUAAUACCUCAUAGUAUUAUAGAAUGGCAUCAUUUUAUAAUUAAAGAUUUAUCGGUGAAAGAUGAGCAUGCGUCCCAUUAGCUAGUUGGUAUGGUAACGGCAUACCAAGGCAACGAUGGGUAGGGGUCCUGAGAGGGAGAUCCCCCACACUGGUACUGAGACACGGACCAGACUCC